UCCAUUUCUUUUUAUGAAUGAAAAUGAUAAGUUGAAUCUCUUCUAAAAGUCUAUCAAUUCUCUCAGGCUGGAGGGUGUGGGGGCGCCACCCCCGCCACCUCACCAUGUAUAGCGCCCAUAUGGGCGAUGGAGCACCACACCCUUCAAGUGAAGAGGGGGGCGCCAUGGCUUGGGCUCCAUGGUGGUAACGCCAAAGUUGAAGCAUUCAGGAGGGGUCUGUUGUCCCUGAUUCUUACAAUGGGAGAGUAAAUGAUGAUCACCCGAAGGAGAUCGUUUCCGGCUUUCAUUCCCAUCACAAGGAAUCGUUGUUGCCAGACCUGAACGAGGUACAUGGAAGAGACUAGCCAUACUUCUUUAAACAACGGCUGAGCUUUAUGUAACAUAGGACCUAUGAGAACUUACUUCGUGUAGUUUACACUUCUCUUUUCAGUUUAUUAUUAUUGCUGUAAAUAUCUUAGAUUUGAAAAGGGUCUUGUAUGUUGUUUAGAUGAAAUAUUUUAGUAAGUAAUUCAUCUCUCACAAAAGAAUUUACCUGAUUCAUGUCUGCGGGAUAAUGAUCGAUGAGUUUCUUAAUUGAUAUCUGUAAAGUUUCUUUCCGAAACUCGAUAUCGAUCUCCGUUCAACAGAUGCUUUAAGACUUCUCUUUAGUUGUUCAUUGACUUGGAUGAUAAUAUAAAAGGGAUGGGACAUUAAAAUUUGUUACUGAAGAUCAUAAAGGGAAAAAUUGGUCUGGUGUAAGACAAAUGUCGGAUUCUGUAAUGCUAAAGACCAAUUCAACUGCUCUUUUAGUAGUAUGUUUCGCUGGGUAUGCUCAAGAUGCUUGAAAGUUAUCAUAAUUGCACAUGACUCUCGAUGAAUAGUACUACAUGUGCAGUGGAUGGAAAAUGAAGGAAAUUGGCUUUCAUGGUUCCAAAGAAUGUGCAUGGUGAAGUGUAUAAGUGGCACAAAAUGCUUUCCAGAAUCCGACAUAGGUUUGGAAUCCAUGAUGAUGAUAAUAUAUGAAAUACAGAGGCUGACCAUAAGGAUCUUCAUCUUAAGGUGGGUCUUUUCAAAGAAUUGCUUUCAUUCAAGGGUAAAUUAGACAAUGCAAACUCCUAAAACAAGAGCUUUAUUGGAAGAACCGAGAUGAGAGGGGUUUUGAACUAAAGUAUACGGAUACAACCAUGUAUACUACAACUCUGAAGUGUGCAGCCGAACAAAUGCAAAUAUCAAAAUCAAUGAUGUUCCUAUCAGAAUAAAUGGAAACCACUUUUGAUCGAAUUAUGGUUUGAUUCGGUGAUCAAAGAACGCUAAGGAAAUGGCAUUUUCGUUGAUAGCGUGAUUUGUUGUCUAGCAGUCAGCUCACAAUUGGUAAGAAGUUCACGCCUUUAUUACCUAAUUUCAGAGAUAAAGAUUGAAGACAGGUGUGUUAUUACUCAUGUUCAAGAUAACAUCAUUUGUGUCUUCCUCUCUUCUUGCGCACAUGAACACGAAAGAGGUUAUCUUGAACAUGAGUAAUAACACAUUUAGGGUUGACUGUGAUGGUGAAUAAAAAUGACUGGAAAGUGCAAUUCUCUUUUUCUUUCAAGAUGAAGCUAUGAUGAUUUUGUAGAUCUGAGUAAAAACAUGUUGAAUGAAGAUAGCAUCAUGGCAUGGUAAGGUUGUAGGAUGGCAGUUGUUCAUGCAACCUCUCUUGCAGCCAUGGUGUUGUCAUCUUGAUGCACAAUCUGAGCCUGGCAUUCUGACAAUGGUGUUGGUCAAUUAGACCAACUCCACGUGAUGUUGCUUCCCGCUGAAUCGAUAGAACUGGUGUAAGGGUUUCGAUGACCUUCAAUCGUCGAUGAUUUACAAACCCAAUGCGACUGAUUAAAUAUUUAGUUUUCAACAUAUGGGCUUGGGCUUUUGAGACAGUUUUAAUAAACAGGUCUUGGGCUUGGACCAGAUUUAUAAACAAAGAAUAUUUGUCUUAGUAAAAAUGAAUGCAAAGUGCAAUUUUCUUUUUAUUUCAAGAUGAGGCUAUGAUGAUUUUGUAGAUGUGAGUAAAAAUUGAAUGAAGAUAGCAUCAUGGCAUGGCAAGUUUGUAGGAUGGCAGUUGUUCAUCCAACCUCUCUUGCAGCCAUGGUGUUGUCAUCUUUAUGCACAAUCUGAGCCUGGUGUUCUGACAAUGGUAUUGGUGAAUUAGACACACUAUUCCGUAAAAAACCCCAUCAGAAUCUAUUUGAUCAUCAACUACACUAUUCACAGAUUCUGAUAAACGGUUAGAAGUGGCUGUUAAACAGUUGAGCCAAACAGGAUUACAGGUAAGUUUUGUAAGAAAAUUGCUUGACUUUUGAUCUUUUGACUUUUAUAUGUCAACUGUAAUACUUUAAUUUAAAAAUGGUUUUUGAAAGUUCUGGUUCUUGAUAAAAUUCUGUUCCAAAUUAUGUUGAAUUAUAAUUCAACGUUAUUUUGGAACUAAAGAUGAAAUGACAUGUGAGUAGAUUCUGAAUUUGGAAGUAGUGGUUUUGACUUAUUAAGUCAAAAGUGGUUUUGACUUAUUAAGUCAAAAGUGGUUUUGACUUAUUAAGUCAAAAGUGGUUUUGACUUAUUAAGUCAAAAGUGGUUUUGACUUAUAAUUAUGACUUAAAACAUUUUCUGAAAACAGUUGUUUUCAUGAUCAUAACUCUAACAAAAUCUUUUCAUUGAUUCAGGUUUUAAUUUUUGUAUUGAGUUGGAGCCGGAUAGGUGGCUUUGGAAGGUAUGAAAAACAGAAUUGAUAAAUUUAGGGAAAAUGCGCUUGAAAGAUGAUAACGCAAUAGUUGAAGAUCUCAUUUUAUAGCUUCGAUGAAUUCAGGUAUGUUUUUAAAUAAUGUUUCCUAGAUGUUUGAAGACCGACAAAUGUUGAAAGAAGUAGCACUGUAGACAUUUGUCAUUCUUUGUUGACCUUCAAACAUCUAGGAACCUUUAUUUGAGAACAUCCCUGCAUUUAUCGAAGCUGUAGAAUGAGAUCCUCCACUAUUGGGUUAUUAUCUUUCAAACCCAUUUUCCCUGAAUUUAUCGAUUUUGUUUUUCAUGCAGUUUUGUCUUAACGGCUUUGGAAAAUGCUGCAGUUUUUACAGGAGAAUGUUUCUAAAGGCAUAUGUGUUUGUUUUGAAAAUCGAAAUUUUAAACAUUGUUUCGUGUUCAUAUUUUUCAUUUAUAUUGGUUUGGAACUAAAUGAUGUAUUAGAUAAUAUAUUUAUAAGAGUA
Helianthus annuus (common sunflower) is the source of this 3206-nucleotide long non-coding RNA. RefSeq lists it as uncharacterized. Lineage: Eukaryota; Viridiplantae; Streptophyta; Magnoliopsida; Asterales; Asteraceae. The transcript is spliced from 10 exons. The record is from RefSeq and is a predicted model, not a curated record.